Rhodococcus sp. RD6.2 is the source of this 105-nucleotide regulatory RNA element. It matches the Rfam family "mraW RNA". NCBI's taxonomy places the organism in Bacteria, Bacillati, Actinomycetota, Actinomycetes, Mycobacteriales, Nocardiaceae. The record is from Rfam.
CGAGGCGAGUGCCGCGAGGCCUCUGCCCGAUGCCGACCCUGACGCACUUCCCCAGCGCCAGGUCCGGUGAAUCGGACAGAGACCUCGCGGCAUCCGCCCCCACCU